GGACGCCGCGCCCAAGCCGAGCCACUGGAUGGCGACAGAGACGGCCCGGCGCGCCCGCUGCCUGGGCACCAAGCGGGGAGGACAGACCUGGCCGGCGCGAAGUUUGUGGACUUGGGCUGCGGGCCCCGGGCGCCCCUACUCCUUCCCGCAGAGGCCCGCGACGCCGGGGCCCAGAGUUUACCUUAAAGAUCAUCAGUAGAACUGAUUCAGAGGGAAGUGGAUCCCGUAUAUCCUUUGAGGUCAGCUUCCCCAGCCCCACUCCUCUCUCAGGUCCCCUCAGCAAGACGAGCUCCCAAGACCAGAUGCUCGCCAGGCAGCCCCACGGUACCAGAGCACCUUCUGAUCCCGCACGAGCAGGGGCCUCCAAGGACCCCAUGAGGCCUUGCUGGAACUGGAUACCCUUUCCCAGGGGUCACUAGAGGGCCCGAUGCAAAGACGGUCUCCGGUAUCACCCGUCACCUCGAAUCCCCGCCCGCCGGGCCUCUAAGGAGACCGUGGAGGCUGUGAUGAGCGCUGAGGGCCCGCGGUGGCCCAGUGAGGACGCCUCUCCAGCUCCAACAGUAUUCCUGCUGUAAGGUGAGUGUGUCCGGGAUGAUUUUCUUCAUAAAUUUUUCUGUUCCUGCUUAAUUAAAACAGUCUGACUUCCCUCCUCCGUGUCCUCCUGACACGCUUCCUGAUUCCCUCUGCUGGCAUGCAGGCACCACAGACCCUGGGCUCCUGAGAACCUGGGGCUGGUGGGGGGCAGGACCCUUCUGGAAUGUGCUGGGCUGGUGUCCGCCCUCUGGCCCCUGGAGGGGCUCCCUCGCGGUCCCUGCAGCUCCCAGGGGAUGCCGGGAUCUGUAGCUCUUGAGUCCCCCCCCUUUGAUGGCAGCCUUUCAUCCUGUUCAGAAGGAAGUGACUUUUUCAAAGGUGACACGUUCCAUUUCGUCCUGUCCAUUCUGAACUCCUCUUAUGUUCCGGACAUUCCCUCAUCCAGCGGCCAUUCGUUGGGCACCUUCUAGGUGUCACUGCUGCAGGAGAGGGAUUAAACAAGACACACGCUUUCUGUUCCCUGGAAACGUGUGCCCGGUUUGGGAAAUGGAUGAGGAAACUGGCAAUCAGAGCGCAGUGUGGCCGAGCCGCGAUGGGAGGGGCUAAGCCGGCAGGGGAAGAGCGCUCGGCCCCAGAUCAGGUGGGGGGCGCUGGGAGGGUGUGCCAGGGAAGCUUCCCGCAGAGCGGUUUUCAAACAUGUUUAGUGCCGUCCUUAGAAAGAGCACACACGGACACACACGUUAAAUGGCAGUUUCACAAAACAAUACCCACACUCUCCAUACUCUGUGCUGUUUUCUGUCCUAAUUCAUUCCUUACGACACUGGUUGUCCACCAA
Long non-coding RNA from Herpailurus yagouaroundi (jaguarundi), 1366 nucleotides. RefSeq lists it as uncharacterized. The record is from RefSeq and is a predicted model, not a curated record. NCBI's taxonomy places the organism in Eukaryota, Metazoa, Chordata, Mammalia, Carnivora, Felidae. The transcript is spliced from 3 exons.